This 231-nucleotide long non-coding RNA is filed under the name Homo sapiens (human). Its description in RNAcentral is "HSALNT0084646". The record is from RNAcentral. Lineage: Eukaryota; Metazoa; Chordata; Mammalia; Primates; Hominidae.
CAGGUGAAUAACUAAGGCUGUCGUCAACAAUGUGUGUGUUUGUUUGCCUCAUGAGGAAGAGACCAAGACUUUACCAGCAUAGACUUACUCUGCUUUCCUGAGGUCAGGAGUCCAAUAGCAACCACUACCUCUUCCUAGGACUGUAAAACAUGUCUUACUUAAAGAUAAUAAAUGACUGAAAAUAGAAUAAUCAUUAAAGAAAUAUUAAGGCCACUUUUUAGCCUAGGCCAA